GAUGAACGCUAGCGAUAGGCCUAACACAUGCAAGUCGAGGGGCAUCACAUGAAGUAGCAAUACGGAUGGUGGCGACCGGCGCACGGGUGAGUAACACGUAUGCAACCUGCCUUCAACAAGGGGAUAACCCGUUGAAAGACGGACUAAUACCCUAUAACACAGGGGUCCCGCAUGGGAAUAUUUGUUAAAGGACAACCGGUUGAAGAUGGGCAUGCGUUCCAUUAGCUAGUUGGCGGGGUAACGGCCCACCAAGGCAACGAUGGAUAGGGGAACUGAGAGGUUUAUCCCCCACACUGGUACUGAGACACGGACCAGACUCCUACGGGAGGCAGCAGUGAGGAAUAUUGGUCAAUGGACGCAAGUCUGAACCAGCCACGUCGCGUGAAGGAAGACGGCCCUACGGGUUGUAAACUUCUUUUAACGGGAAUAAAGUGCCCCACGCGUGGGGUUUUGCAUGUACCGUAUGAAUAAGG
This 473-nucleotide ribosomal RNA is filed under the name uncultured bacterium. Its description in RNAcentral is "bacterial SSU rRNA". It matches the Rfam family "Bacterial small subunit ribosomal RNA", at positions 28 to 491 of the family's 1533-position model. The record is from RNAcentral.